Amborella trichopoda is the source of this 938-nucleotide long non-coding RNA. RefSeq lists it as uncharacterized. NCBI's taxonomy places the organism in Eukaryota, Viridiplantae, Streptophyta, Magnoliopsida, Amborellales, Amborellaceae. The record is from RefSeq and is a predicted model, not a curated record.
GCAAAAAGAGGUGGAAAUGCCUCAAGCACAGCAAGGCACGGAGAUCGAGUCAUGGAGGGGAAAGGCAAAAAGAGGUGGAAAUGCCUCAAGCACAGCAAGACACGGAGAUCGUUCCAGAGAGAGAGAGAGAGAGAGGGGGGGGAGGCGGGGCAAUCCUCCUAGUGAGAGAGACCAGGCGUCCUUACAGACAGAGAUAGGGGCCUCCUGCCGGUAAACCUUAAUGAUCAGAGGAUAUAUCUGUAGGUAUUUUGGGUACUUUUCCUUUUAGUGAGAAAAAAUCUUUCGAGCUCCAGCUGUUUUACGAACGUUUAAAAUUUAAAUCUCGAAAUAUGUAGUAUUUCUUUGGAUUAAUGGACAGCGGUUCUGACCUACUGCCGGAAGAAAAUGAUUUUGGCCUGAAAGGGCGAAAUCUCAUUAUUGCUUGCGCAAUGAUAGUCGUUGCCUUCGCCGUGGCCAUCUUAGUUUUCUCGGCCCAUAUUUUUUGGCAAACAAGAAAGAGAGCAGCUGUGGAGCCAGAGCCAGGGGUGCCAUACAUUGAGCUGGUUGUGGAAAAUGCACAUCCAUAACAAGAAGCAUAAGCCAUGCAUAUGUUGGACGACCAUUGAUUUGUUUGAAGAAAAUGAGGAUUCAAUGAAGGAAUGAGCUCAUCAUCUCCAUAUGAUGAUCGCUGGUAUCCAGAUUCUGGUGCAACUAAUCAACCAACCUCAGAUCUUACCAGCUUAUCACAAUCUGAUUACCAAGGCCAGGAUCAAAUCAUGGUUUUUUACCAAGGACCAACAGACCGGGAUAAUUCUCUGAUAGAAGGCCAAAGUAAAGGGUGACAUUAUCCCAUCUAACAGGCUAGAAUCAAUGGAGCACUAGGAGGAACUUUUAAAUAUUUUUCAAAUAGAGAUAAAACAGGUGUUGGAUUUGGUACUAUUCAACAUCAACAACAUAAG